GCUAAGAGAGUAGGAUCAGAGCUAGAUGGGCUGGAGUUGAAUCAGAAUUUUGCCUCCCAUGUCUUGUGUAAAUGGAAACAAGUUGCUUGGGUUUUGGACUCCAGUUUCCCCAUCUGAAUAAUAGAAUAACAAAGUGUUAAACUCAUAGGGCUGAUGAUUAAAUGAGCUAAUAUGAAAACCAUCUGGACAGCGCCUGGCACACAGUACCAAGAGGAGUGUGUGAGGGAGAGAAGGGCGCUGAGGAAUCCUGGAGCUCCGGACCUUGCCUCAUUGAACAUACUGGGCUGGGUCAGCAGGAGGUUCAACUGCCUGUUGCAAAGGCUGCAAGCUUUCCCUGAGACCCGGCUCCCACAGUGCGCUGGCUGCACCGCACCCUGCGACUCCCACUGUCACUCUACAGCAAGCCCAUUAAGAUGAUCAAAGAGUCAUCGGAGAGUUGUGAGCGGCUCUGGAGGGUCCAUGGAAUGUGACUGUGACCUUGGGAGCACAUUUCGUCUUGCCCUGAACCAAACUUCUGAGGGACAAUUCACUGGUAUUUUCAACAGGAUGGAGAAUGUAAGCCCCAUGAAGCAAGGACCAGCAUUGCUGGUGCCUAGCACUCUACCUGGCCCACAGAGACAUUCCGGAAUGACCUUCUGGUAAGUGGAUUUUGCUACAGAUAAAGCAGAUUUCUUUGGGGACGUCUCAGAAAUGAGAUUUUAUUUUUUUUCCAAGUGCAGGGCACAAAAUGACUCUAGGAACUCAUAUAUUAAAUAAGUACCAAUGGGACAUUUAGAGCAUCAUUACUCAUCCCCAGCACAGCUGUGGAAGACACUGAAGAUGUGGCUUUCUACACCAAAGCCAUAUUACAGGAUUUAUUGAUAACUAUCAUCCUAAGUGGAGCAAAGAACCUUCACACAGCUCUAGCAGUGUAGCUACAGGUGUCAGUUUCACUUAAAGUACUGCCUUCCCAUCCAGGGCUCCAUCAGCAUUUUCUCUCCUAACAGCAGCUCACUCCCACUGCUCUGUGAGAACAGGCCAAUAUUCAAGGCAAACUUGACCGGACUGAGUUCAUGUGUGGGAGGGUGAUGUAAUUCACGGACACUCCGCUCGGCUGAGGUGGUAGAGCGGAGAGGGUGGGGCUGGCAGCCGGAAGGCCUGUGUUCUUACUCUGGGCCACAGGCAGCUCACCAUUUAUGUUGAGAUCGAGUGUCCUCAUGUGGAAAAAAGGGCAAAUGAUUCCUGCCCAGUGUGCCUCACCAACCACUGCAGGGUUCAAUUAAGAUAAUGCGCAGAUAAGUGCUUCUGGCCCAGCAUACACACAUGUAAAGAAUAAUUACCUGGGAGCAGCAUGGUGUAGUGGAAAGGGCAGGAGCGUUGGUAUCUGACAGGCCUGGGCUCAAAUCCUGAUUCUGCUACCAAUUAGCUGUGACUUCAGCUCUUUAAAAAUCUCCGUGCUUCAGUUUUGUCGUCUGUGAAAUGGGGGGAACAACACCAACCUUGCCUGUUUAUGAGGGUUAGAGGGAAUGGUGUGUGAGGGGCUCUCGGCACAUAGUCGGUGUAAUAGUAAUAUUUUUCCCAUUCAUUUUACUUGGUCACUUAAUCAGAUAACGCCAUUCUAUCAGUUUUCGAUUGCCGUCAUAACAAAUUACCACAAAUUAAGCUGCUUAAAACAGUACAGAUCUAUUGUCUCACAGAUCUGGAGGUCAGAAAUCCAGCGGGCUCGGUCGGGUUGGUUUCUCUGCCUGUCUCACAGGCUGAAGUCAAGGCGUUGGCAGGUCUACCACCAAGCAGGAUAGUCUGCUUCUGGGCUCAUUCCAUUUGUUGGCAGAACUGAGUUCCAGGUGAUUGUAGGACUGAGGUCCCCCUUCCCUUGCUGGCUGGCGGCUGGGGGAUUGUUCUCAGCUGCUAGGGGCCACCCAGACUGCUUGGCUCGUGCCUCCUUCCUCCAUCUUCAACGCCAGCAGUGGCAGGGGCAGUCCUCACAUUUCAUCACUCUGACCCCCUCUUCUGCCUCUCCCCUUUUUAAAGGCCUAUGUGAUUACACUGGGCUCACCCCGGUAAUCCAGGAUAAUCCACGGUCCUGUCUUCAAGUCAGGAACCUUAAUUUCAUCUGCAAAGCCCCUUUUGCCAUGUAACCAUAUUGUACCAAUGUAAUACAUUCACAGGUUCCAGGGAUGAAAAUAUGGACAUCUUUGGGGGCCAGUAUUCUUCCCACCACAGCCAUAUGUUGAUAUCCUACUGUUUUGUAUGUAUUAACAAUGUCUCCUCUGCAAGAUCUAAUAUUCAAAGUAAUUAGCUCAAUGCCUGGCAUAGAGUAAGCUCUUGACCAAUAUUAGUUUCUGUUUUUGCUAUUGAUAAGCAGAUGACAAUAAGUCUCUUUUUCUCCACAGAUCCUAUCAAACCCACCUGGCUGAGAGAUACCUCCUUUACUGCUUAUCUUCGAUUUUCUCCAGAAAGCCUUUCUGAUCUCAGUGCUUGCCCACCAGGCUGGGUUCAGGGCCAGUCUUCUGUGUUACCGAAUCAUAGUCCUCAUCUUGUUUAAUUGUCCCUGUCUCUUUCCUUGUAACUUUUCUACCAGACUCUGAGCUUUUUGAGGAUAGAAACUAACACUUUUUCUGGUAUCAUUUAGUAGAGUGUCCGGUACAUAGUAGAUACUCAAUAAGUGUUUAUUGAAUAAAUGAAUGACGAGAAAAUCUAUUGCACUCUUAAAAACAAUUGAUCAAAUAACAGCUGGUUGGGAUGCCUCCCUUAAACGAGAGAUACGGAAACAUUCCUUCGAGAAGGGUUAAUGCAUGCACAUGGAUGCCGUACUUCCUAGGAGAAUUAUCUUUACACAGAGGUUUCUUGAAAAAUAAAUAUAGGUGGUGUUCGUGAAUUGUCUAGAUCCAGAUCUUUUGGGGGAAGGCAGUUCUGAAAUUGCUGCAGACUCCUGGCAACUAUUUCACUUGGAGUUUACAGAAUGAUUUUGUCACUUUUUUUCUCUGAAUGCAUCAGGGAACAGACACACACAGUAUUCAAAGAAAGCCACAUCAGCUUGGCUUACUUGUCAUUUGCAUACUUACUGGGACUUAUUAUAUCUAACAGCAAAAUUGGACCCAGUGUUAUUUCUCUUGGAAAUGCACAAGUAGCUCUUCCUUCUGCUUUUUUUCCCCAGUAUGUCGAAUGCUCAUUUUCUAUCCAUUUUGUGAAGUACCCUAACAAUACUGCAAAGAGUUAGGGACAAUAACGAUCAAAUAAGAGCAAGGUUCAUUGGGAAGUACAUUUACUGUUGCUCCAUGCGUGUUUGUUUUCUGUACUUUAAAAUUUUGCCUAUUUCAGUUUGUCAGUCGGCCCACGUUGACUCAGAUCAGCCGGGAGGCCGGCUCGUCUUGCCUGGGCCAGCAUCCUUUCACAGCUGUCUGGAGUUUGGCCGGUCCUUUGCAAUGAUUGCUCCUGCUCAGGGACUUUGGUCUUUUGAUACUUAUUUUUAGGUUCAAUAUAGUCUCCAUUAUUUUAAAGGAACAGUUUUAUUAUCUGAAACGAACAACCACAAAUGGAAAAUUGGAGCCAAAUCACAGGCCUCAGGACCCAGAUGAGGAAUAAAGAAAAAUUGUUUAUAGCCAUAAAUGCUUUCUUUGCAGUUUUCCUUCUGUCUAUCAGGCUGGGGUACGUUUGCUAUGAUCACAGACUGGUGAUUGGGCAUCAGAUUAUGUCUUGGUGUUACAAAUGUGCUGCCCUCUAUUGGGAGUCUGGAAUCCUAAUUUCCUUUGGAUUCAGCACUCCAUUUUGGGAUUGUGGACCAGCUCAGAUGUGAGUCUCGUAUGUAUCAUGGGAUAGUUUUAGUGAAGUCAGUUCUCAACGGCCACCUCUGAUUGAUCUUGCUUGCACAAUUACUUUCAAUUCAGCAAAUAUUUAUUGAACACUCACUGUGUGCCAGACAUCAUGUGAGGCACCUGAUAGAUGCGCAGAUGCCUAAGACGUAGUUCCUGAUUUCAAGAAGCUUAUGACUUGGUAAAGGAGACAGACUUAUACACAAAUAAGUAGAAUAGAAAGCUGACUCUGUGAAGUUCCAUGGCUCCAAGGAAUUUUAAGUGCUGUGUAGGCAGAGGCACGGCCAAGGAGAGUCCGGACUUAGUACUGGACCAAUUGUUGGCUCUGUGCCUGACAUAAGGUAGGUAUUUCACUGUGUGGUGUGCAUGAUUUUGGGAAGGUGACACAAUUAGAACAUGGAGGUCAGGAAGGGCUGCAUAGGAAGGGACGCAACCAGAACCUCAUUGGCAUCUUCUUUUGCUCACGCUCUGAGCCUUACAAGAACCGUGAUGGGUGACUUCAGCAUCAGCACAGUAGGGUGGCAGCAUGAUCAGGAGCAACACACUGAUGGAGUGUCCAGCAAGACCUUGUUCAUGAACAGACAUGGCAGACUGGUGUCACACAUAGCAGUACUGUGCAAGUCUGAAUAUGUGUAUGUAGAGGCCCAGUUUACUGAGUCUGGAGAGCGGGCAAUGGGGGACCCAACCACACCAGCCACCCAGGUCCCUUUCCUAGCCUAGAGUUCUUGCUCCAGUGUGACCCCUCUCUAGGAAUUCACUCCUCCACAAAGUCUCUGAACAAAGAAAAGUUUUAGCUGCAGUUGAGGCAAGCUUUGCAGCAGGGCCUACAAGGCCUUCCUUGAUCUGGGCCUUGACUAUCAUCCGUAUCUCCCCACUUGGAACUGCUCCUCCACCCCUCUGCUUCCUCUGACUGAUCCAAGCUGCUAUAGUUUCUUCUUAUACCUCCAUGCCUUUGCACCACCUUUCUGUCUGCUUGGAAUGACUCUUACAGAAAGGUCCUACAUAUCUUUUAAGAUGUAGCUCAAAGGCUACCUCUUUUGCAAAGCAUACUUUGGCCUUUGUAGACAGUGAAGCAUCCCUCUGAAUCUCCAUAACCCUUGGUCAUAUGUCUGUCCUCGUACUUACUCCAAUUCUCCAACUAGUUGGCUCUAUGGUCAUCUCCCCAGAGGUCAAAUACUCUGUCCUAUUGGUCAUUUUAGUCCUAGGGGCCUAACACAGUGCCUGGCAUGUAGCUAGCAUUUAGUGAAUGAUUUUUUAAUAAAUGAAGUGGAUUUGUUGAAAAACUCUACCCGAAGAAAGGAUUAAUGGAAUGCUUUUUAUCUCUUAUGUAUUAAUGUCUACCACAGUAAGAUGGGCCCAUUCUCCAUAACCUGUAGUGGAUCUCAAGGACUGACAAAGGGAGAACCCUUCUCAGAGAGCGGAGGAAGGAAAAGGCCAAGCAGGCAAAGCCAGAAGGCUCUUUAGCAGACAAGGAGAGCAGGAAAGGGUGUGAAUAUUUGUUCACAGCUGGUCUUGUGAAAUGCCUGAUGAAAAAGGAAUUUGUGUUAGAAUAAUUUUGGGAAAUGCUAUUUACUCUUUUAUAUUCAUUCAUCUCUUCAUUUAACAAAUAUAUUUAAAUGCCUACUAUGUGCUAGGCAUUGGUGUAGACACUAGAGAUACAGCAGUGGACAGCACAGAUCAAAGUCCCUGUCCUCAUGGAUCUUACAUUCUAUCUAGUGUGACAGACAGGCAAUCAAAAAAUAAGAACUUGAAGUUCGUAGUGUUUUAGAGAAGGUAUUAACUACUACGGAGAAAAAAAAUAAAGUGGGAAAGAAUAUUGAAAGUGUUGGGGAGUGGAGUGUUGGAGUUUUGAAGGGGAGGUCAAGGAAGUUCUCAUCAGAAGGUUACAUUUGAGUAAAGACCUGAAAGCAGAGAGGGAAUGAGGUGGGUGACUCUCUGGCUAGAGAGCAAGCCAAAGAGAGGGAGCUGUGUGUGCCCAGGGUUUAGAGAGACGAGUUCGGAGGCCAGUGUGGCUGCAGCCCAGGAAGGAGGGGAGAAGAUGGAAGAUUUGGGUAGAGAGGUCACUGAAGAGUGAUCGUGUAGAGUUUCAGGUCAUAGAAGGACUCUGGCUUUCAUCCUGAGUAAAAGAAGAGGUCAUUGCUCAUCAUUGCCAAAACCCAUCAAAAGAAGGGUUUUGAGGAGAGGAACUGGGCAUGGAGAGAAAGAAUCAGAUGAAAUGGGUAUUUAAGAAGCUUAGAAUCUACAGGGUUUGAUGGCCUGUUAGCUAUUGUGGGUGAUGAACAAGAUUGUAUGAUAACCCUGAGGGUUCUGGCUUAAAUCGGAUUUUCUGUGAUUACCUGCAUCCCUUAGAGAGGGCAACCAAUGCACGCUGCAAACUAACAAUCUAUGCAAUUAACUUUUAUUUUUAACAUGGUUCAAGUUAUAUUCUAAUGAAGAAAAAUGUGAACUGAUUUAAUGUUCAGACAAUGUUCCCUUCCACUUUUGUUAUUCAUAAGUUCAUAUUAGUUUUUUAUUAAUAGAAAAACAUUUUAAAAAGGUACUCGAUAGAGUGACUAUGAUGGACUGCUUGAAUGUGUGGGGGAUUAUCUGGUAUUUUCUUUAAUAUUAACAGCUAUAUUUUGGAAUUGAGGUGUUCUAAUCUUUUAUAUGGAGAGUGCAGAUUUAAAAAAAAAGCAGAUUAUACUGACCUGGAAACCAUUCCUAGUGGUUGGGUUAAGGACCUUGGAUAUACGCUUAGGCCCUGUUCUCCAACAUUGGGAAAAGGUGGCCGACACUUCUAACGUUGCUCAUUUUGAUUUUUCUAUGUUCAGAAUGCUGGUAUUCCUUUGGCUCCUCCAUGGACCCCGGAAAGAAGGCAUGUUUCUCUAGUGUAGCUCUGGGAUGUUUGAAGCCUUUUACCUUUUUAAAUAGCCUCGAGCUUGCAAUAGUGGCAUCUCCCAAAUAGCUUAGGCUCCAAACACCAAAAUGAGAAGCAGAACCAAGUUGUCUAGGGUCUUGUGAAUGAUGCUUAAUGUCACCUCUUGUCUGCUAAUGAGGCACAGAGGAAAGACCUUCAGUUUGACAUCUAGUUAAUUCUUAAGAAUAGAAUGAACAUUUUUUGAGUAGUAAAUAUUGGUUCUGUUCAUAAAUAUUUCUAGUUUUCUUCCCUCUAGGCAUAUUUAGUAGGAUUAAACUUCCCAAUCUGCCUUAUGAAAAAGUAGUCAUGUGACUUACUUUGGCCAAUGAACCGUAAGUGGAAAUGACUUGUCUGGAUGGAAGUCAGUAAGAGCCACUGUAUUAUUUGCCAUGUUCCCUUUCCCUUGUCAUGGCGACCAGUGGUCCUCCAGACGAUGCAGGCUCCAUCAGUUUCUGGUCAUGAGUGAGGCAACAGGAGGAGGAGGCCCUAGUAGAUUUGCAACAUUUUUUGUUUUAAGUGACUGACAUUUGGGGUUGGUUUGUUAUAAAUCCUAUCCUGACUAAUACACUUUUAAUCCUUUAUUUACAUCAUUUUAAAAUGCUGCUUACAUUUUCUGAUUACCAUAUGUUCCUUGUGGAGAAUUUUGAAAAUACAGAAAAGUAUGAAAAAGGAAUAAACAUCCACUGAAAUCACCUACACAGAAAUAAUUUCUGUUAAAAUGUUGAUGUAUUUUCUUUCUUUCUCUCAUAUAUAUAUUAAAUUUUAAAAAUUGGGAUCACAUUACAUAUACAAUAUUGCCUUUUUGCUUCAUAGUAUAUCAUAGUCUUUAAAACACAUAAAUUUGCUGCAUAAUAUUAACUAGUGAAGGAAUGUUGCAAUCUAUUUUUAUAUUUAUAUUGUAUAUUUUAUAUUUAUAUUAUACAAUUUAUAACAAAGUAAUUUUUUUUGUACUUUUUCUUGUACUUUUUUGGACUUUUUCUUGUUGAAAAUAACUUCUCAAUGAAACAUUUGUACCCAGCCUUGCUUGGAUUACUGUUUAUGUCCAUAGGGUGGAUCCUAGAAGGGAAAGGCCAUGGAAUAUGCAUAUUUUCAAGACUUUCGCUACAUAUUGCAGGAUUGCCCAGGAGAAGGGUUGUACCAAUGAGCACUCCAGCAGUGAGAGAUGGGCCAUCUCACCACCCUUGUUGAGUAUUAGAGUUCCUUUUAAUCUCUGUUAAUUUGAUAGGUGAAAAUGCUAUCUUGUUGUUUUAUAUUUGCAUUUCUUUGAUUAUAAGUGAUGUUGAACAUUUAUUUCAUGUGUUUGUGAGUCAUUUGCAUUUUUUCUUCUGGGAAUUGUCUAAAUGGAUUCUCGAGCCCCGCAAACACCAAACUGUUAAGCAGAAAGCAACACAGGAGGCAGGCAGCGCCGCUCGGUUGCCAAGGAGCCUCAGCGUUCGUUUUGAAGUAUGACUGUUCAACAAGCUUCUCUUAUUCCCUCUCAUCUUCUUGUUUUGAUUAUUUUCUCUCCAGUCAUCUCCCUCCACAGGCCAUGUCUCCCUCAAGCCUUCGUCCCCCUCCAAGCAUGUUAUUGCACUGGGCUCCAGUCAUGGCUAAAUCUGAAAUUUUGGAGACAAAGGGACGAAUGUGACCAAAGUUAGUUUUGAGUGAAACAGAAUGAUUGUGGCAAAAUCCAUCACGUGUUCCCCUUACGAAGGUCCCUCCCUACCAACUGAUAUGUUCCCAUGGCAGAGGCAGUGGGCACACCCUCUCCUUGAGGGUCAGUGAUGAAGAGCACAGCCUGCUUCUCUGGCUUUAGGCUUGAAUCCCUGGUGGUAAAGGUGAAAUUACUCUUCCUGGAAGCAUUCUUAUUUAUUUCAUAGAUGUUGCAUUACCCUCGAUUGUCUGUUUGGUGCUUUUAAGAAGGGAGAAGAAAGAAUCUAAAUUUCCCCAAAGUGAGUAUUACUUUUUAGCUAGUGUGAGAUGAAAGACAGAUCGAAAUGGAGCCAGAGAGAGCUGCCCUUCACUCUCCAUCUUCAUUGGAGUUGGAGGCUCACAUUGGUAUGUCAGGCAGCAGCUGGCAGCCUCUUUUAUCAUCAUUAAUUGUCCGCUGAGUUGUCACAAGGAGAGACUAGAAUUCAGGUUUAAUUACAUCUGUAUCAUCUCUGAUAAAGUUCGGGAGAUUCUGGUGGUGCAAAAGAGGCGUGGGCCAGUGAUGUGCCAAGGAUACUCCGUGAAGCAGAAACCGUGUGUAUCCUUGAGGGGAAAGGUGAAUUAACUGAAUUCCGAGGGAAGUAAGGCUUUAUCGAGGCUGGGCAGCUCUCCUGAGAUGUUGUGAAGGGGAGGGGGUAGAAGGGAAGCCGCUAGUGGCAUUGAGCUGGUUAAGGGUAAUUUAGUUUCUAUGGGGCAGGUGUAGGGGGCCUUCCCAGGGAACAAGCAAAGAUUCGUUGAAGGAAAUUUCCUCGUUAUUAUGGAUAAUAACCUACUGCCAGUCAGGGAGCAAAGAAAUACAUUAGGUUUUAGAUAAAACAGUGGCAUUCCCACUUCUUUUAUGGGCUAGAUCUCUUUGGAUGGGCUCUGAUUUAGUCCUGGAAAUACUGGUGCAGAGUGAGGCUUAAGGGACAACGAAGCUGGCUUUGGCUACAGCGAGAACUGAUGGGCAGCUUAAGGGAAAUUGCAAGGGGCAGGUGGCACGGGAGCUGAGAGUAUCGGAAGCUCAUUGUUUCACGAAAGAAGUCAGCAAGUGCUAAGAGCCUUUGCUGCACUUGUGACAAUGGCCCCCCUGCCUAGCUUAGCCCACAAGGUCUCCUGAUCGUUUAUCAACCCUUAGGGUCCUCUCGUUCUGCUUCUGGUCCUUUAGUUACUGAGCAACAUCUGAGCUUUGUACCUCAGGUAGAGCUGUGGCCCCUGCUCCAUUUCCCUUCAUUGGCGCCUGGGUCUUGUGCUACGAACGUUAACCACUCAGCUUCAUCUCAACUCUCGCUUCCUGAAAGAAAAUCUGAAACCAUCUCAUGAGCCAUCUCUUGUGGAAUUAAGUGCUUUCAAAGAAUCAUAUAGAUAGGCCAUCUGGCCCUCUGCUUUUCAAAAGGAUAAUUUCAGUGCUACUCCCACAUCUUAAGAAGAGCAAUUUAUUUUAGUCCUUAGGCCCUCUUUCAGCCUUAAAAAAAAUAGUAGGUCACGUAAAUGAAACCUGAGAAAUCUAAAAAUAAUAAUUGUAUUUGUGUGCAUGUGUCUCUGUAAUACUACACACAACAAAAGGGUUUUGUACACAUUUGAAGUCUCCAGUAAGAGAAACUCUUCCCAAUCUGAAGUUUGUGGUCUCUUAUGUUAAGCUUCUCAUUCAAACCACAAAACUAAUCUUUGCUCUGAUUUUUAUAGCCAGGAACAAAACUCACAGGGGUAACUUUGGAAAAACAAGUAAAUCAAAUUCAGAGCUCUAAGAAUUUAAAAUACAUGUUGACCAAGAACAGAUACAUAAGAGGAUUAAAACAGAAUACGAGAUAUAUAUAGGCAUACCAGAGUUUGCAUUGAUUGGAAGUUUCUUGAAGCCAGAGGCUCUACAUUUGUACUUCUAUCCAACAAUCCUAGGCACAGGGUAGCUGCUCAACAAAUAUGUAUGGAAUGUGGAAAGUAUUUAUUGAAUGUGUU
Equus caballus (horse) is the source of this 10311-nucleotide non-coding RNA. NCBI's taxonomy places the organism in Eukaryota, Metazoa, Chordata, Mammalia, Perissodactyla, Equidae. The record is from RefSeq and is a predicted model, not a curated record.